UGGAGCUCCAGUGCCCUGGGAGGGGAGAGGAGAAGCCUGACCUUGAGCACAGCUCCAGCCUCCACUCCCCACCCCUAUCGCAGGCUCUGGGCUGUGGUUUCAUUUUCCCCAGUUCUCUAACUUCUCAGGAAGCCCAGAGUUUCUCCCUAAAGAAAGGUGGCCCUGCACUCUUUCCUCUCCUCCAAAAUUAGGCUUCAGUAGUUGUCCUCUAAGUUGAUAUUUAGACCUUAAAAUCUAGACUUCUUGGAUCAACAAGAAAUACGCAGGAAGUUCCACAUGAUCUCGUGUGAUAGCACGUAACUUAGUGCUACAGGUGACAGUUUUAUUUUUGGAGGAGUCUUAUUUUACAUAGGGAAAUAGAAAACUAAGUGGCUUCCCUUGAGGCAGCCCGAGGGCUCCACUGGACCCAGAACUCUGAGUUCUGAUGCUGCCUAUCAUUUGCUUUUCCUCAUGAGCUCCUGGACCACCUCAUAUCACCAGCACCCUCUACCCAAGGUCCUGGAGCCAACACUGGAGUAAAAGAGCACAAGAGAACUCCUUAGAGGUGGAAGGAUACCCUCUGAGGUCAAAUCAUUGGGCUUGUGGCCAUGAGACCACAGACUUUGCCUGGCUUCCAGUGACUGUCCGAGAUGACCUGUGGAGUGCACCGCCUGUACUUGGACAUCACUGUCUUUUCGGAUCCAUACCCGUCAUCCUUGGAAUUUCCCCUGCAUCCAAACCUGUUCCUGAUACAGGUGUGAGUAAUGAAUAACCCUAAGGAAUAUCUUGGAUGUCUUCACGGGGCUUAUGACUUAUUCUGAGGUUUACAAAAUAGAGGCCCCCAGCUGAGCAAAGAGAGGGCUGCAGCGCCGAGGGAACAGCUGCCGGACUCACCGGAGAGGCCUCCUGGAGCACGCCGGGACCCCCUCCACCCCCUGGCUUUGGCUGCAUCAAUGGCUAGUUUGCCUGAACUAUAUCUGAGCCACUGAGAGUAUUUAUUAAGCAGAGAAUAAUUUUGAGUUUCACUUUUAUAACUUUUGUUUCAAAAGUUGUUUUGGAUAAUUUAAUGAAAUGACUGUAAACCAGAAUUCCCCUUUUCAUUAUUUCUUUGUGUCAAUAUAAAAAGAGUUGAUGAUUUUAAAAGCCAGUGAGAUGUCCCUGUCUGUGGAUGUCAGCGGGAGGGUGGGGUCUGACGCCUUUCUCUGGUGGCUGUCCAGGAAGAUUGCCCCAGCUUGCACUCCCUUUUGGCGGGUUCCAGAGCCUUCCAUUUGAAAGGAGCAUCUCUCACCACUCUGCCCCACCCAGCACCAGCUCUUCUGGAACCCACUGACUUCCUAAACACUUUCUUCCUCCUUCACCUCAUUGAAUUCAAGACUUUAGAAAACAGCCAAAAACUCUAGAGGUGGGGGUGGGUUCGAUCUGGAAAUCCCUGCUGUAAUCUUUUUAAGGGAAUCCACUGGAAAUUAUUAAUUUAUGUUUUAAAUAAAACCAUUCCUUACUUAACAGAAUAUUAAGCCACUCAUUUUUUUAACAGAACUUUCGAGAUAUAAUUAAAAUGCCAUAAAUUUCACCCCCACACAGUGUACAAUUCCAAGGUUUCCAAUAUAGUCACAGAAGUCUCUGCAACAAUUACCACAAUUUUAGACAUGAAGACCAUUUGUUGGCAGCCCUACCUGCCUCUAUGUGUAUGUAUAUAAUUUUAAUAUUGGAUUGGAUACUAUAGUAAUAUUGUACUGUUACCUAUUUGUGUUUUUAUAUUGCUGUUUUAUUUUAUUCAGAUGAAUAAUAAUUAUCUCCAUAUAGUCAUACAUUUAUAUAGGGUUAAACACACCUUUUUACAAUUCAAUAAAUUAAAUUGGUCAGGUAUGGUGGCUCACGCCUGUAAUCCCAGCACUUUGGGAGGCCAAGGCGGGUGGAUCACCUGAGGUUGGGAGUUUGAGACCAGCGUGAUCAACAUGGAGAAACCCUGUCUGUACUAAAAAUACAAAAAAUUAGCCAGGCAUGGUGGCACAUGCCUGUAAUCCCAGCUACUUGGGAGGCUGAGGCAGGAGAAUCACUCGAACCAAGGAGGCGGACAUUGCGGUGAGCCAGGAUCGCACCAUUGCACUCCAGCCUGGGCAACAAGAGCAAAACUCCAUCUCAAGAAGAAAAAAAAAAAAAAAGUAAAUUGUUUUUAAUUACAUAAGAAACACGUGUUAUUGUUAUAGAAAUUCACAUAGUGCUUCGGUCUAUAGAAUAAAUGUAUCCCCACCACCUCCCAGCCCACCCACUCGUCUGCAUUCACCUACACACAGUUAAACAUGCACAUAUGUUUCCGUGACACGAUCUUGCUUUGCAUAUUGUUCACUGACUGGCUUUUCCAUAUAAGAUUUAAUUUGGUGAUUAUUGCUUAUCAGUACCUAUAGGUCUCUCUCAUUAUUAUUUAUAAUUACAUCAUUAUUCCAUAGGGUAUUUUACCACAAUUUGGUCACUUUUUCACUGAGGAAUUUUUAUGUCAGUUUCAGUUAUUUGUUAUUGUUACCAAUGCUGUACUGGGCAUCCCUGUAUAUCCACCUUUUUGUUGCAUUAGUUAAGUGGUUUUUUCCUUUUAUGAUUGAUUUCUAAAAAUAAAAUACUGCAGCAAAUGUUAAUGUUUAAUAUUUUCAUAAAAUUAAAAAUCUGUGUUCCAAAAAGAAAUCAAUGGUUUAUACUUCUACCAUCAAUGUAUGAGAAUUCCUAUUUCCCCACACCCUUAAUUACAUAGGAAAUUAUCAAUGUUUGCCAAUUUUAUGAUUUUAAAAUAUUUUUACUUUUAAUUUGGAUUUCUCCACUUAUUAGGGAGAUUGUGCAUAUUUGUGUAUGUGUGUUGGCCGUUUGUAUUUCUCCCUGUGAUUUUCAUAAUGAUACGUUUUCCUAGUUUUCUAAUUCAUUUAGUGAUAUUCUUUAUAUGUUCUGCACAUUUAUUAUUUCCAUAUAAUUACUGAGUUUUUUUUAAGGUCUGUGUCAUAACUUUUACUUUGUUUAUAUUGUUUUUGUUUUGAAGAAGGUUUUCUUUUUACAUAGUCAAAUUUUCAAUAUUUUCCUUACCAUUUCUGGAUUUUGUGACAGGCUUUCAAUAGUUGGUCCUUCUAGGGCUUUAUUGAUUUGUUUUGUUUUAAAGAACAUGCUCAAAUCCUACAUUAUAUAGUGAUUUACUUGUUCCCUUUAUAACACGUGGUAGACAUUACUAGUUCCAAUUAAUGUAGAUUAAAUGUAUUCUUUUCAGUUGUGUAGUAAUUCAUAGAUACGUUCUGAUUUCUUUAUUCUCUGUUAGAUGGAUAUUAAGCUUAUUUUUUAAAAUUCCCACCACUAAUGACUUUCCAGUAAUCAUCAAUAUACAUAGAUCCCCCCAAUGUUUUUGUUUUUUUGUUUUUAUGUAGUAUACGAAUCUCAAAAUGGUAUAAUUGAGCUACGAUAAAUUUAAUUAUAAUUUAAAAAAUACUGACAUUAUUUUUCACAGAGUUAAUCAGAUCACACUCUUACCAAUUACAUAAGUAGGCCUCUUCCUAUGUAGGCUCAAUAG
RNAcentral lists this long non-coding RNA (3520 nucleotides) under Homo sapiens (human). RNAcentral's name for it is "HSALNT0247982". Lineage: Eukaryota; Metazoa; Chordata; Mammalia; Primates; Hominidae. The record is from RNAcentral.